RNAcentral lists this long non-coding RNA (319 nucleotides) under Durio zibethinus. RNAcentral's name for it is "long non-coding RNA (DZIB_LNC002070)". Lineage: Eukaryota; Viridiplantae; Streptophyta; Magnoliopsida; Malvales; Malvaceae. The record is from RNAcentral.
UGGCAUAUCUAUUCCAUGUUCUUCUUCUUCUUCUGAUAAUCCGAAUGAAUUAAGGCUAAUGUUAUACAUGGAAAUUAUUGAGUCUCCAGAUUCCAAAUCAUACCUUGACCUGCUUAACUCCAAUUCAGCUUCCUUUGAGAAUUCUUUAGCUUCAUAUUCUGAAGUUUCUUCCAAGUCAGUCUGUUUGAUAUCAUCCAAGGCCUUUGGUGUCUCCUCUUCCGCUGAUUUUAUUGAUUCGUUAAGCCCACUCUCCCAAAAAGAAAAAGAAACAAUUAAGCCCUCAAAUUCUGAAUCAUACCUAGGGUUACAGUCUGGCACU